UAUUCAGAACUCGCACCAACACUAGGUUGCACUACACCAGUAUUCAGAACUCGCACCAACACUAGGUUGCACUACACCAGUAUUCAGAACUCGCACCAACACUAGGUUGCACUACACCAGUAUUCAGAACUCGCACCAACACUAGGUUGCACUACACCAGUAUUCAGAACUCGCACCAACACUAGGUUGCACUACACCAGUAUUCAGAACUCGCACCAACACUAGGUUGCACUACACCAGUAUUCAGAACUCGCACCAACACUAGGUUGCACUACACCAGUAUUCAGAACUCGCACCAACACUAGGUUGCACUACACCAGUAUUCAGAACUCGCACCAACACUAGGUUGCACUACACCAGUAUUCAGAACUCGCACCAACACUAGGUUGCACUACACCAGUAUUCAGAACUCGCACCAACACUAGGUUGCACUACACCAGUAUUCAGAACUCGCACCAACACUAGGUUGCACUACACCAGUAUUCAGAACUCGCACCAACACUAGGUUGCACUACACCAGUAUUCAGAACUCGCACCAACACUAGGUUGCACUACACCAGUAUUCAGAACUCGUACCAACACUAGGUUGCACUA
Oncorhynchus keta (chum salmon) is the source of this 594-nucleotide long non-coding RNA. RefSeq lists it as uncharacterized. NCBI's taxonomy places the organism in Eukaryota, Metazoa, Chordata, Actinopteri, Salmoniformes, Salmonidae. The record is from RefSeq and is a predicted model, not a curated record. The transcript has 3 exons.